CGGUAAUACGUAGGGUGCAAGCGUUAAUCGGAAUUACUGGGCGUAAAGCGUGCGCAGGCGGUGAUGUAAGACAGUUGUGAAAUCCCCGGGCUCAACCUGGGAACUGCAUCUGUGACUGCAUCGCUGGAGUACGGCAGAGGGGGAUGGAAUUCCGCGUGUAGCAGUGAAAUGCGUAGAUAUGCGGAGGAACACCGAUGGCGAAGGCAAUCCCCUGGGCCUGUACUGACGCUCAUGCACGAAAGCGUGGGGAGCAAACAGGAUU
RNAcentral lists this ribosomal RNA (262 nucleotides) under Variovorax guangxiensis. RNAcentral's name for it is "partial 16S ribosomal RNA". It matches the Rfam family "Bacterial small subunit ribosomal RNA", at positions 518 to 779 of the family's 1533-position model. The record is from RNAcentral. Lineage: Bacteria; Pseudomonadati; Pseudomonadota; Betaproteobacteria; Burkholderiales; Comamonadaceae.